RNAcentral lists this ribosomal RNA (467 nucleotides) under uncultured bacterium. RNAcentral's name for it is "partial 16S ribosomal RNA". It matches the Rfam family "Bacterial small subunit ribosomal RNA", at positions 29 to 507 of the family's 1533-position model. The record is from RNAcentral.
ACGAACGCUGGCGGCGUGCUUCACACCUGCAAGUCGAACGGAAAGGCCCUGCUUUUGUGGGGUGCUCGAGUGGCGAACGGGUGAGUAACACGUGAGUAACCUGCCCUUGACUUUGGGAUAACUUCAGGAAACUGGGGCUAAUACCGGAUAGGAGCUCCUGCUGCAUGGUGGGGGUUGGAAAGUUUCGGCGGUUGGGGAUGGACUCGCGGCUUAUCAGCUUGUUGGUGGGGUAGUGGCUUACCAAGGCUUUGACGGGUAGCCGGCCUGAGAGGGUGACCGGCCACAUUGGGACUGCGAUACGGCCCAGACUCCUACGGGAGGCAGCAGUGGGGAAUAUUGCACAAUGGGCGGAAGCCUGAUGCAGCAACGCCGCGUGCGGGAUGACGGCCUUCGGGUUGUAAACCGCUUUCGCCUGUGACGAAGCGUGAGUGACGGUAAUGGGUAAAGAAGCACCGGCUAACUACGUG